RNAcentral lists this ribosomal RNA (905 nucleotides) under uncultured bacterium. RNAcentral describes it as "bacterial SSU rRNA". It matches the Rfam family "Bacterial small subunit ribosomal RNA", at positions 33 to 893 of the family's 1533-position model. The record is from RNAcentral.
ACGCCGGCGGUGUGCCUAAUACAUGCAAGUCGAACGCGUUGGCCCAAUUGAUUGAUGGUGCUUGCACCUGAUUGAUUUUGGUCGCCAACGAGUGGCGGACGGGUGAGUAACACGUAGGUAACCUGCCCAGAAGCGGGGGACAACAUUUGGAAACAGAUGCUAAUACCGCAUAACAACGUUGUUCGCAUGAACAACGCUUAAAAGAUGGCUUCUCGCUAUCACUUCUGGAUGGACCUGCGGUGCAUUAGCUUGUUGGUGGGGUAACGGCCUACCAAGGCAAUGAUGCAUAGCCGAGUUGAGAGACUGAUCGGCCACAAUGGGACUGAGACACGGCCCAUACUCCUACGGGAGGCAGCAGUAGGGAAUCUUCCACAAUGGGCGCAAGCCUGAUGGAGCAACACCGCGUGAGUGAAGAAGGGUUUCGGCUCGUAAAGCUCUGUUGUUAAAGAAGAACACGUAUGAGAGUAACUGUUCAUACGUUGACGGUAUUCAACCAGAAAGUCACGGCUAACUACGUGCCAGCAGCCGCGGUAAUACGUAGGUGGCAAGCGUUAUCCGGAUUUAUUGGGCGUAAAGAGAGUGCAGGCGGUUUUCUAAGUCUGAUGUGAAAGCCUUCGGCUUAACCGGAGAAGUGCAUCGGAAACUGGAUAACUUGAGUGCAGAAGAGGGUAGUGGAACUCCAUGUGUAGCGGUGGAAUGCGUAGAUAUAUGGAAGAACACCAGUGGCGAAGGCGGCUACCUGGUCUGCAACUGACGCUGAGACUCGAAAGCAUGGGUAGCGAACAGGAUUAGAUACCCUGGUAGUCCAUGCCGUAAACGAUGAGUGCUAGGUGUUGGAGGGUUUCCGCCCUUCAGUGCCGGAGCUAACGCAUUAAGCACUCCGCCUGGGGAGUACGACCGCAAGG